CACGUAGGGCGCAAGCGUUGUCCGGAAUUAUUGGGCGUAAAGCGCACGUAGGCGGCUUAGCAAGUUGGAUGUGAAAGCCCUCGGCUUAACCAAGGAAGUGCAUCCAAAACUGCUGAGCUUGAGUAGUUAAGAGGAUCGCGGAAUUCCCGGUGUAGAGGUGAAAUUCGUAGAUAUCGGGAGGAACACCAGUGGCGAAGGCGGCGAUCUGGGCACAUACUGACGCUGAGGUGCGAAAGCGUGGGGAGCAAACAGG
This 253-nucleotide ribosomal RNA is filed under the name uncultured bacterium. RNAcentral's name for it is "partial 16S ribosomal RNA". It matches the Rfam family "Bacterial small subunit ribosomal RNA", at positions 524 to 776 of the family's 1533-position model. The record is from RNAcentral.